GCGGCUGUAGCUCAGCUGGUAGAGCACUCGGUUGUGAUCCGAGCGGUCGCGGGUUCAAACCCCGUCAGUCGCCCCA
RNAcentral lists this transfer RNA (76 nucleotides) under Hyphobacterium sp. RNAcentral describes it as "tRNA-His". It matches the Rfam family "tRNA". Rfam says of the family: Transfer RNA (tRNA) molecules are approximately 80 nucleotides in length. Their secondary structure includes four short double-helical elements and three loops (D, anti-codon, and T loops). Further hydrogen bonds mediate the characteristic L-shaped molecular structure. tRNAs have two regions of fundamental functional importance: the anti-codon, which is responsible for specific mRNA codon recognition, and the 3' end, to which the tRNAs corresponding amino acid is attached (by aminoacyl-tRNA synthetases). tRNAs cope with the degeneracy of the genetic code in two manners: having more than one tRNA (with a specific anti-codon) for a particular amino acid; and 'wobble' base-pairing, i.e. permitting non-standard base-pairing at the 3rd anti-codon position. The record is from RNAcentral. Lineage: Bacteria; Pseudomonadati; Pseudomonadota; Alphaproteobacteria; Maricaulales; Maricaulaceae.